CCCUACUCCUACGGAGGCAGCAGUGGGGAAUAUUGCACAAUGGGCGCAAGCCUGAUGCAGCGACGCCGCGUGAGGGAUGACGGCCUUCGGGUUGUAAACCUCUUUCAGUAGGGAAGAAGCGAAAGUGACGGUACCUGCAGAAGAAGCGCCGGCUAACUACGUGCCAGCAGCCGCGGUAAUACGUAGGGCGCAAGCGUUAUCCGGAUUUAUUGGGCGUAAAGAGCUCGUAGGCGGUUUGUCGCGUCUGCCGUGAAAGUCCGAGGCUCAACCUCGGAUCUGCGGUGGGUACGGGCAGACUAGAGUGAUGUAGGGGAGACUGGAAUUCCUGGUGUAGCGGUGAAAUGCGCAGAUAUCAGGAGGAACACCGAUGGCGAAGGCAGGUCUCUGGGCAUUUACUGACGCUGAGGAGCGAAAGCAUGGGGAGCGAACAGGAUUAGAUACCCUGGUAGUCCAUGCCGUAAACGUUGGGCACUAGGUGUGGGGGACAUUCCACGUUUUCCGCGCCGUAGCUAACGCAUUAAGUGCCCCGCCUGGGGAGUACGGCCGCAAGGCUAAAACUCAAAGGAAUUGACGGGGGCCCGCACAAGCGGCGGAGCAUGCGGAUUAAUUCGAUGCAACGCGAAGAACCUUACCAAGGCUUGACAUGGCCAGACCGCCUCAGAGAUGGGGUACCCC
Molecule: ribosomal RNA, 675 nt
Filed under: Arthrobacter sp.
Lineage: Bacteria; Bacillati; Actinomycetota; Actinomycetes; Micrococcales; Micrococcaceae
Description: bacterial SSU rRNA
Rfam family: Bacterial small subunit ribosomal RNA
Source: RNAcentral